AAACACAUUAUUGGUGGCUUCACCCAACAUAUUAUUGUAUAUAGUUUGAUUGUUACGCUAAAUCAAGAUAAAAAUUGUUCUUUCAUAGACGGAGGACCUACUACUAUAAAGGGGCACAUCUAUAAAAGGACUAUAAUUUUGCUAAGGAAGGCUUUUUGGUGUAUUCUCCUUAUUGAAGACAAAAACAAAAAUAAUGGUGGCUUCAUCAAGCAUAUUAUUGUAUAUAGUUUAAUUGUUAUGCUAAAUCCAUAUAAAAAUUAUGUUUCCAUGGAUGAAGGACCCGACACUAUAAAAAGGAUACAUCUAUAAAAGAUAUGUGUACUAGACUUUUUUUUGCGAAAGAAUGCUUUUUGGUGCACUCUCCUUAUUGAAGACAAAAACAUAUUAUUGGUGGUUUCACCCAACAUAUUGUUGUAUAUAGUUUAAUUAUUAUGCUAAAUCAAGAUAAAAAUUGUGUUUCCAUAGAUGAAGGACCUGACACUAUAAAGGGAUACAUCUAUAAAA
Cryptomeria japonica (Japanese cedar) is the source of this 504-nucleotide long non-coding RNA. RefSeq lists it as uncharacterized. The record is from RefSeq and is a predicted model, not a curated record. The transcript is spliced from 3 exons. NCBI's taxonomy places the organism in Eukaryota, Viridiplantae, Streptophyta, Pinopsida, Cupressales, Cupressaceae.